RNAcentral lists this ribosomal RNA (274 nucleotides) under uncultured bacterium. Its description in RNAcentral is "partial 16S ribosomal RNA". It matches the Rfam family "Bacterial small subunit ribosomal RNA", at positions 523 to 796 of the family's 1533-position model. The record is from RNAcentral.
AUACGGAGGGUGCAAGCGUUGUUCGGAAUUACUGGGCGUAAAGCGCGUGCAGGCGGUAAGGUAAGUCAGAUGUGAAAGCCCCGGGCUCAACCCGGGAAGUGCAUUUGAUACUGCCUUUCUUGAGUAUGGGAGAGGAGAGUGGAAUUCCCAGUGUAGAGGUGAAAUUCGUAGAUAUUGGGAGGAACACCCGUGGCGAAGGCGACUCUCUGGACCAAUACUGACGCUGAGACGCGAAAGCGUGGGGAGCAAACAGGAUUAGAUACCCCAGUAGUCC